AGUGAACGCUGGCGGUAGGCCUAACACAUGCAAGUCGAACGGCAGCACAGUAAGAGCUUGCUCUUACGGGUGGCGAGUGGCGGACGGGUGAGGAAUACAUCGGAAUCUACUUUUUCGUGGGGGAUAACGUAGGGAAACUUACGCUAAUACCGCAUACGACCUACGGGUGAAAGCAGGGGAUCUUCGGACCUUGCGCGAUUGAAUGAGCCGAUGUCGGAUUAGCUAGUUGGCGGGGUAAAGGCCCACCAAGGCGACGAUCCGUAGCUGGUCUGAGAGGAUGAUCAGACACACUGGAACUGAGACACGGUCCAGACUCCUACGGGAGGCAGCAGUGGGGAAUAUUGGACAAUGGGCGCAAGCCUGAUCCAGCCAUACCGCGUGGGUGAAGAAGGCCUUCGGGUUGUAAAGCCCUUUUGUUGGGAAAGAAAAGAAGCAGGUUAAUACCCCGCUGUUCUGACGGUACCCAAAGAAUAAGCACCGGCUAACUUCGUG
Molecule: ribosomal RNA, 492 nt
Filed under: uncultured bacterium
Lineage: Bacteria
Description: partial 16S ribosomal RNA
Rfam family: Bacterial small subunit ribosomal RNA
Source: RNAcentral